UCCCAUCUCCGAGCUAGGGUCGUUUUUCCUCUCGAUCUUCAAGAGGUAAGAGUCGAUCUUGAGCUCAUUAUAUGUUUUAAACAAGUUUUAAGUUGUUUUAUGGGGUAGAAAUGCAUGUUAGGUCAUAUUGGAGUUCAUGGGUUCAUGUUAAGUUUUUGAGCAAUGUAUGAUGUUUGUGGUUGUUUGAUGUGUUGUAGUUGGGGUUUAAGAUAGUUUGAAGCCCCUAGGAGCUGAUGU
RNAcentral lists this long non-coding RNA (237 nucleotides) under Manihot esculenta (cassava). RNAcentral describes it as "long non-coding RNA (MESC_LNC004154)". The record is from RNAcentral. Lineage: Eukaryota; Viridiplantae; Streptophyta; Magnoliopsida; Malpighiales; Euphorbiaceae.